AAUAACUAGAAACUCAUUAUUCAAUGUUUUUUACUGUUAGUUUAUUUUAAUGGUGGAUUCCUUACAUGUUAGUGCUCUUGGGAAUGCAAAGAAGUGUUACACCCAAAAUCUCUUUGAUUGGUUUUUGAUAUAUGUUUUCUGCUUAUAAUGCCGUACAUGUUUUGAUAAGUGUAUUCGUGUUUGUUCGAUCAUGUUCCCAAUAUUACAGUUCUUCUGUUUAACUUGUUGGGUUCCACGUGAUUAAAUAUUUUUGUAGCAUGAAUGGAAGUUAGUUUAGCUGGAAGCUGAGCAAUUAACAUGUAUUUUUUUUGAAAUGGACAUCAUGUUCCAUCAUGAUGGAUGAAAUAUUUAACAGAACAAUGAUAAAUUAAAAUUGAUUUGCACUCAUGACUAGGUUUGAUAUCAAAUUUUACAAUUAUUCCUAUUUUCUGUUAUGGUGAUAUGAUAAGUGUUGAUUUUGACAUUCUUGUUCUAUUGAUGCCUACAUUAUUUGUGUUUCUUUAUUGAGUUUUUUUAUUAGGGGAUUUAUGAAAUCUUUUUGUUGCAUUUUGUAACUAAAGAAUGAUGGUUGGUUGAAUAAUCCAUAACCAAAGUUUCUUAGUUUGGUUUUAUCAAACUGGAACCCCAUGCGGUGUUUUUUGAACUGAAGUUUUUAUUGACCAUCCUUGAUUGUCUUUUUUGGUUGGCACUUGGAAGUUUACCAAAACAUUCUGAUGUUGUUGUCCUUUAUAUUAUGAGUUUCCUACUCUUUAGAUAUUAAUGCGUUGUGAUUUUGGCCUUUGAUUCCAUUCAAUGUUAUCUUUAUUUUUAAUGUGUCUAAUCUGGGAAUGAACAAUGUCAGAAAUGGUACGUCAUAUUAGUGUACUGUAGUUUCAGGACUAUACUCUUACUUUUCAAUCUAAAAGAAAGAAAGCAUGCCUCAAUUUCUCGAGUUAUGAUGUCCCUGAAAACUUUUCCAAUGACACUCUACUUCCUGCCGUUAGGAAUUUCUGGUGGUAUGACACAUCAUUGUAAACUUUUCCAGUGACACUCUACGUCAUGUAGUUGGGUCUCAGAGAUAUUGAAGUCAUUAUGACUCUUAAUGAUCAGGGGAACUGGAGUUGGACACAGCCCUCACACUUUCUUUCGAAUGGUGGAUCAUCACAAUCUGCCGUGAUAUUCCAAUAUUCCGCACUCCCUAUGCGUUCAACAUUCUUUAAUGUGAAAAUGUAUUCGCUAUGCGCUCAACUCCCUAUGCGCUCAACAUUCUUUAAUGUGAAAAUGUAUUCACAACAUGGUUGUCUCAAAAAAGCAGUUGUUUCAGCUCUUACCUGCUAUAUCCAUGCAUUACAAUUAAUCAAGGAAUACAAUUAAUCUAUUUAUCUUAGAAUGAUCAUAUUAUUUUCAUUUUAUCCAUUUUAUUAAUAAUUCCUUUAGUGAGUGGCAGUUCUAUUUUUUAAAAGCAUUCAAGCCUGACAAUUAUUUGUUCAAAUUCAAAAGGAACACAACAUUUCUUUGUUGGAUCUUUUAUUCUGUGUUUCAUUUUGUAUAGCCGUAGGAGACUUAGUGUUCUGUUUUUUAAUUCUCCAUUCCUUUGUGGAAUGGAAGUGCUUGAUACAAGGGAAGUUCAUGUUAGUCAUGUUUCCCCACUUGAACUAUCAUUAUCUGAUGUGAAUAUAUGUUCUCUUGCCCGUUUGUUUUCUGGGCUUCUGUUCCCCUUUUUUUUUUUUUGUGGUGUUCUCAUGUUUAUUUCUCCUGAAUUUAUCAUUGAUAAGUGGAAUUUUUUGUGGCACCUGAUUGAGGAUGAGUCUGAUCACUAAUUUGCUAUGAUUCCGGUGGUGUUUCUUGUUAUUUUUUGUGUUUUUACCUCUUUUCAGUUUUCUGGAGUUAUUAUCGCUUCAUAUUCUUUCUCUAAAAGAAAUUGCUCGAGGAUGAUUGUGAUAAUCCCAGCUCAUUAUGAGACCUUCCGAGGUCUGGGAAAAGAUCCCAUCAUGGAGUCUGAGAGCAACUAUACUGUAUACUGCUUUUUCUUCUUUUUUUUUGUGAGUUUGUUCCCAAUGAUGGUCCUAUUAUUAACCAUGCUAAUACUGAAAUGAUGAUGUUUUUUUCGAUGUAACUGAGGGAACGUU
Molecule: non-coding RNA, 2108 nt
Organism: Amborella trichopoda
Lineage: Eukaryota; Viridiplantae; Streptophyta; Magnoliopsida; Amborellales; Amborellaceae
Source: RefSeq, a predicted model, not a curated record